AACUUCUCGUUAGAUCACCGAAGUUAAGCAUCAUUGGGCGCGGUCAGUGCUUGGGUGGGUGACCACCUGGGAACACUGCGUGCCGUU
This 87-nucleotide ribosomal RNA is filed under the name Caerostris darwini. The record is from RNAcentral. Lineage: Eukaryota; Metazoa; Arthropoda; Arachnida; Araneae; Araneidae.